UAGGGAAUAUUGGGCAAUGGGCGGAAGCCUGACCCAGCCACGCCGCGUGCAGGAAGACGGCCCUCUGGGUUGUAAACUGCUUUUAACUGGGAAGAAAAGAGGCCUUGCGAGGCAAGUUGACGGUACCAGUUGAAUAAGCCACGGCUAACUACGUGCCAGCAGCCGCGGUAAUACGUAGGUGGCGAGCGUUAUCCGGAUUUAUUGGGUUUAAAGGGAGCGUAGGCGGCUGAUUAAGUCAGCGGUGAAAGGUAGCAGCUUAACUGUUUUACAUGCCGUUGAUACUGGUUAGCUUGAGUUGACAGAAGGCAGAUAGAAUUCCUGAUGUAGCGGUGAAAUGCUUAGAUAUCAGGAGGAAUACCGAUUGCGAAGGCAGUCUGCUGCAGUCACACUGACGCUGAGGCUCGAAGGUGCGGGGAUCAAACAGGAUUAGAUACCCUGGUAGUCCGCACAGUAAACGAUGAUUACUAGAUGUUGGCCAAGCCAGUGUCCAAGGGAAACCGAUAAGUAAUCCACCUGGGGAGUACGCCGGCAACGGUG
RNAcentral lists this ribosomal RNA (537 nucleotides) under uncultured bacterium. RNAcentral's name for it is "bacterial SSU rRNA". It matches the Rfam family "Bacterial small subunit ribosomal RNA", at positions 355 to 896 of the family's 1533-position model. The record is from RNAcentral.